This 253-nucleotide ribosomal RNA is filed under the name uncultured bacterium. RNAcentral's name for it is "partial 16S ribosomal RNA". It matches the Rfam family "Bacterial small subunit ribosomal RNA", at positions 524 to 776 of the family's 1533-position model. The record is from RNAcentral.
UACGGGGGGAGCAAGCGUUGUUCGGAUUUACUGGGCGUAAAGGGCGCGUAGGCGGUAGCACAAGUCAGUUGUGAAAUCUCCGGGCUUAACUCGGAAAGGUCAACUGAUACUGUGCGACUAGAGUGCAGAAGGGGCAACUGGAAUUCUCGGUGUAGCGGUGAAAUGCGUAGAUAUCGAGAGGAACACCUGCGGCGAAGGCGGGUUGCUGGGCUGACACUGACGCUGAGGCGCGAAAGCGUGGGUAGCAAACGGG